RNAcentral lists this ribosomal RNA (601 nucleotides) under uncultured bacterium. Its description in RNAcentral is "bacterial SSU rRNA". It matches the Rfam family "Bacterial small subunit ribosomal RNA", at positions 732 to 1337 of the family's 1533-position model. The record is from RNAcentral.
GCCCGUUAACGACGCUCAUGCUCGAAGGCGCGGGUAUCAAACAGGAUUAGAUACCCUGGUAGUCCGCGCGGUAAACGAUGGACACUCGGGAUUUGCCCUAUUGGGUGAGUCCCCCAGCGAAAGCGUUAAGUGUCCCACCUGGGGAGUACGCCGGCAGCGGUGAAACUCAAAGGAAUUGACGGGGGCCCGCACAAGCGGAGGAACAUGUGGUUUAAUUCGAUGAUACGCGAGGAACCUUACCCGGGCUUGAAAUGUGCAUGACGACCCCGAGAGACCGGGGUCUCCUUCGGGCAUGCAUGUAGGUGCUGCAUGGUUGUCGUCAGCUCGUGCCGUGAGGUGUCGGCUCAAGUGCCAUAACGAGCGCAACCCCUUCCGCCGGUUACCAUCGGGUUAUGCCGGGGACUCCGGCGGCACUGCCGCCGCAAGGCGUGAGGAAGGCGGGGAUGACGUCAAAUCAGCACGGCCCUCACGUCCGGGGCCACACACGUGUUACAAUGGGGGGCACAGCGAGCAGGACCAGGGCGACCUGGUUCGAAUCAAUAAAUCCCCUCCCAGUUCGGACUGGAGUCUGCAACCCGACUCCACGAAGCCGGAUUCGCUA